UACGAAGGGGGCUAGCGUUGCUCGGAAUCACUGGGCGUAAAGGGUGCGUAGGCGGGUCUUUAAGUCCGGGGUGAAAUCCUGGAGCUCAACUCCAGAACUGCCUUUGAUACUGAAGAUCUUGAGUCCGGGAGAGGUGAGUGGAACUGCAAGUGUAGAGGUGAAAUUCGUAGAUAUUCGCAAGAACACCAGUGGCGAAGGCGGCUCACUGGCCCGGUACUGACGCUGAGGCACGAAAGCGUGGGGAGCAAACGGG
RNAcentral lists this ribosomal RNA (253 nucleotides) under uncultured bacterium. Its description in RNAcentral is "partial 16S ribosomal RNA". It matches the Rfam family "Bacterial small subunit ribosomal RNA", at positions 524 to 776 of the family's 1533-position model. The record is from RNAcentral.